RNAcentral lists this ribosomal RNA (422 nucleotides) under uncultured bacterium. Its description in RNAcentral is "bacterial SSU rRNA". It matches the Rfam family "Bacterial small subunit ribosomal RNA", at positions 355 to 774 of the family's 1533-position model. The record is from RNAcentral.
UGAGGAAUAUUGGGCAAUGCCCGCAAGGGUGACCCAGCAACGCCGCGUGGAGGAUGAAUGUCGUAAGAUUGUAAACUCCUGUUAGAGGGGAAGAAUAGUACCGGUUGGACCGGUAUAUGACUGUACCCUCAGAGAAAGCCCCGGCUAACUACGUGCCAGCAGCCGCGGUAAUACGUAGGGGGCAAGCGUUGUCCGGAUUUACUGGGUGUAAAGGGCGCGCAGGCGGGAUAAAAAGUCAGUGGUGAAAUCCUACAGCUUAACUGUAGAACUGCCUUUGAUACUUUUAUUCUUGAGUUCGGGAGAGAGAGACGGAAUUCCAGGUGUAGUGGUGAAAUACGUAGAUAUCUGGAAGAACACCUGUUGCGAAGGCGGUCUCUUGGUCCGACACUGACGCUGAGGCGCGAAAGCGUGGGGAGCAAACA